Molecule: ribosomal RNA, 301 nt
Filed under: uncultured bacterium
Lineage: Bacteria
Description: partial 16S ribosomal RNA
Rfam family: Bacterial small subunit ribosomal RNA
Source: RNAcentral
CAGCAGCCGCGGGAAUACGUAGGGUGCAAGCGUUAUCCGGAAUUAUUGGGCGUAAAGAGCUCGUAGGCGGUUUGUCGCGUCUGCUGUGAAAACUGGAGGCUCAACCUCCAGCCUGCAGUGGGUACGGGCAGACUAGAGUGCGGUAGGGGAGAUUGGAAUUCCUGGUGUAGCGGUGGAAUGCGCAGAUAUCAGGAGGAACACCGAUGGCGAAGGCAGAUCUCUGGGCCGUAACUGACGCUGAGGAGCGAAAGCAUGGGGAGCGAACAGGAUUAGAUACCCCCGUAGUCCCUGUCUCUUAUAC